AACGAACGCUGGCGGCAGGCCUAACACAUGCAAGUCGAACGCCCUAGCAAUAGGGAGUGGCAGACGGGUGAGUAACACGUGGGAACGUGCCCUUCGGUUCGGAAUAACUCAGGGAAACUUGAGCUAAUACCGGAUACGCGCGAGAGCAGCAAGAUUGAUCGCCGGAGGAUCGGGCCGCGGCGGAUUUCCUCGUUGGUGAGGUAAUGGCUCACCAAGGCGACGAUCGGUAGGUGGUCUGAGAGGAUGACCAGCCACACUGGGACUGAGACACGGCCCAGACUCAGAUGGGGGGCAGCAGUGGGGAAUAUUGAACACUGGGUGCAAGCCAGAUCCAGCCAUGCCGCGUGAGUGAUGAAGGCCCUAGGGUUGUAAAGCUCUUUCGCCAGGGACGAUAAUGACGGUACCUGGAUAAGAAGCCCCGGCUAACUUCGUUCCAGCCGCCGCCGUAA
RNAcentral lists this ribosomal RNA (449 nucleotides) under uncultured bacterium. RNAcentral's name for it is "partial 16S ribosomal RNA". It matches the Rfam family "Bacterial small subunit ribosomal RNA", at positions 29 to 523 of the family's 1533-position model. The record is from RNAcentral.